RNAcentral lists this unclassified non-coding RNA (238 nucleotides) under Hevea brasiliensis (rubber tree). Lineage: Eukaryota; Viridiplantae; Streptophyta; Magnoliopsida; Malpighiales; Euphorbiaceae. The record is from RNAcentral.
AUUUAUUAUGUAAAACAUUAAUAUGAUAAACAAAGAAUAGACAUCGAGAUUCCAAGAACAACACGAAGUUCAAAACAAAACUCAUCCAAAUUUAAGGAGGAAAACACUCAUAAUAAAAUCCCCAAACGAUCCUGACUAUCUUCAAUGCUAAAAUUGAUUUUUGACUUUGAAAAAGAUUCUGAAGCUGAUGCAAAGAUGGAAACUUUCUUCACUCCAGCUGCAACAGCUGCUUCAAAAC